Molecule: ribosomal RNA, 427 nt
Filed under: uncultured bacterium
Lineage: Bacteria
Description: partial 16S ribosomal RNA
Rfam family: Bacterial small subunit ribosomal RNA
Source: RNAcentral
UGGGGAAUAUUGCACAAUGGGCGCAAGCCUGAUGCAGCCAUGCCGCGUGUAUGAAGAAGGCCUUCGGGUUGUAAAGUACUUUCAGCGAGGAGGAAGGCGGUAAGGUUAAUAACCUUAUCGAUUGACGUUACUCGCAGAAGAAGCACCGGCUAACUCCGUGCCAGCAGCCGCGGUAAUACGGAGGGUGCAAGCGUUAAUCGGAAUUACUGGGCGUAAAGCGCACGCAGGCGGUCUGUCAAGUCGGAUGUGAAAUCCCCGGGCUAAACCUGGGAACUGCAUUCGAAACUGGCAGGCUAGAGUCUUGUAGAGGGGGGUAGAAGUCCAGGUGUAGCGGUGAAAUGCGUAGAGAUCUGGAGGAAUACCGGUGGCGAAGGCGGCCCCCUGGACAAAGACUGACGCUCAGGUGCGAAAGCGUGGGGAGCAAACA